RNAcentral lists this unclassified non-coding RNA (322 nucleotides) under uncultured fungus. RNAcentral describes it as "sequence contains ITS2". The stretch from base 1 to 52 matches the Rfam family "5.8S ribosomal RNA", at positions 103 to 154 of the family's 154-position model. Lineage: Eukaryota; Fungi. The record is from RNAcentral.
AACGCAUCUUGCGCUCCUUGGAAUUCCGAGGAGCAUGCCUGUUUGAGUGUCAUGAAACCUUCAAAACCCUCUCUCUCUUCCACGAAAAAGAGGGCUUUUGGAUAGUGGAGUUGUGUGCUGGUAGAAAGGGCUCUCUCUCUUUCUGUCAGCUCCUCUGAAAUGCAUCAAGCUUUUUGCCUCGCGUGGAGUUGUAAACAGAGCUUGUUGGUAUGAUAAAUACUUGUCUAUGCCUACUUGUUUGUUGUUCUGCGUGCAGGGAAUGGCUCACAUCAUCUACAAUCUUUUUGACCUCAAAUCAGGUAGGACUACCCGCUGAACUUAA